GACGAACGCUGGCGGCGUGCUUAACACAUGCAAGUCGAACGGAAAGGCCUCUUUCGGGGGGUACUCGAGUGGCGAACGGGUGAGUAACACGUGAGUAACCUGCCCUUGACUUUGGGAUAACUUCAGGAAACUGGGGCUAAUACCGGAUAGGAGCUCCUGCUGCAUGGUGGGGGUUGGAAAGUUUCGGCGGUUGGGGAUGGACUCGCGGCUUAUCAGCUUGUUGGUGGGGUAGUGGCUUACCAAGGCUUUGACGGGUAGCCGGCCUGAGAGGGUGACCGGCCACAUUGGGACUGAGAUACGGCCCAGACUCCUACGGGAGGCAGCAGGGGGGUAUAUUGCACAAUGGGUGGAAGCCUGAUGCAGCAACGCCGUGUGCGGGAUGACGGCCUUCGGGUUGUAAACCGCUUUCGCUCAUGACGAAGCUUUGUGUGACGGUAGUGGGUAAAGAAGCACCGGCUAACUACGUG
This 467-nucleotide ribosomal RNA is filed under the name uncultured bacterium. RNAcentral's name for it is "partial 16S ribosomal RNA". It matches the Rfam family "Bacterial small subunit ribosomal RNA", at positions 28 to 507 of the family's 1533-position model. The record is from RNAcentral.